GCGAGCGAAGCGGGAAGAGCUCAAAUUUGUAAUCUGGCGUCCUCAGGGCGUCCGAGUUGUAAUCUAUAGAAACGUUUUCCGUGCCGGACCGUGUCCAAGUCCCUUGGAACAGGGUAUCAAAGAGGGUGACAAUCCCGUACUUGACACGACGACCGGUGCUCUGUGAUACGUUUUCUACGAGUCGAGUUGUUUGGGAAUGCAGCUCAAAAUGGGUGGUAAAUUCCAUCUAAAGCUAAAUAUAGGCGAGAGACCGAUAGCGAACAAGUACCGUGAGGGAAAGAUGAAAAGCACUUUGGAAAGAGAGUUAAACAGUAUGUGAAAUUGUUGAAAGGGAAACGAUUGAAGUCAGUCAUGUCCAUUGGAUUCAGCUGGUUCUGCCAGUGUACUUCCUUUGGACGGGUCAACAUCAGUUUGAGCCGGUGGAUAAUGGCAGAGGGAAUGUGGCACCUUCGGGUGUGUUAUAGCCCUUUGUCGCAUACAUCGGCCCAGACUGAGGAAUGCAGCUCGCCUUUAUGGCCGGGGUUCGCCCACGUUCGAGCUUAGGAUGUUGGCAUAAUGGCUUUAAACGACCC
This 572-nucleotide ribosomal RNA is filed under the name Cryptococcus sp. GY28L04. RNAcentral's name for it is "eukaryotic LSU rRNA". It matches the Rfam family "Eukaryotic large subunit ribosomal RNA", at positions 89 to 650 of the family's 3401-position model. The record is from RNAcentral. Lineage: Eukaryota; Fungi; Basidiomycota; Tremellomycetes; Tremellales; Cryptococcaceae.